This is a non-coding RNA of Chiloscyllium plagiosum (whitespotted bambooshark), 1740 nucleotides long. The record is from RefSeq and is a predicted model, not a curated record. NCBI's taxonomy places the organism in Eukaryota, Metazoa, Chordata, Chondrichthyes, Orectolobiformes, Hemiscylliidae.
AGGAGGGGCUGGUCUUGGCUCACUUUGGGGGAGAAGGAAAAACGGCACGGCCAGUUGGCUGGCGCAAGCGUGUUCGGCUGCGAUCUGGCGGCGCCUGCGCUCUUCGCUGGCUGGGGAGGGGGGCGGGGUUGCUGUCUCCCGGCGGAAGUUCACAGGUGAGUGAUCGCCUGGUGUGUCAGUUACCGUACCGGAAUGCGGGAGCGAAGGGGUUGAAGCGACGACGCCAGAUCAAUAUUUUCCAAUCAACCUGCUUUGAGAUGUUAUUACCUACCUGUGGAGCAGGUGGAACUUGAACCCAGGCUUCCUGGCACAAAGCUACUGGGACCUUUCUAGGAUCUAGGGAUUUUUGGAAGAUUGCAACCUAGGAUUCCACUGUCUCUGCAGCUACUCUUUUGAGAUCCUAGCAACCCGAUACUUUGGAACCUCGAUGAUCCUGCAUUCGAUUAUCCAAAUGUCGGAUUACCUGACAAGAUCGCACGAUCCUGAUGCUUGGCUAAACUAUGUUAUUCGAUUAUCCUGAAUUUGAUUAACUGAACAAAAUACUCUCUGUCCGUGUCCUUUGGAUAAUAGAGGUUCUGCUGUAUUAGUUUGUCGAGUACGUUUUCUCCACUGAAAAUUGUUUUAAGUUUCUCCCUUUUGUGCAGAUGUUCUGCUAUUAUUAGCACCCCCAACACACAUUUGCAAAAUGUUUGUUUAAAUUCUCUGCUUUUCCCUGUAUUCCAAUUUUAAUUCCAUACACUCAUCUGCUAAGCGAUCAAUGUUUACUUUAGCUACUCUCUUCCUUUCAUGUACUUCUUAUUGUUUGAUUUAUUUGAUUCUUGAUAAUUUAAUGCUAAUCAAUCUUUUCCCAGCUUACAAUGUUUUUAGUUAUAGUUUUGUGGAGUGGCAACUGUGAAAUGUAAAGAACUGGAGAAGUCCUCUGACAAACUUGUUCCUCCACAGUUAGCUAUGAGAAUUUAUUGGUUGGAUCCAACCAGAACAAAUCCGAUUUUUUGAGACCACCAUGACUUUAUGCAUAUGUGCAGAGUCAGGCCCCAAUUCAAAACUACUGACUUCCUUUGUUUUUUGUGAAGACUGGGAAUGGCUGCAGAUAUAUGAACCUUUUACUCAAAAUGGACACCUUUGGCAGGUGACAUACAAACAAAUGGAUAGAAACAUCCGUUUUUGUAUUUUUUUGCUAGCUCAAUGCCACCUAAGUAAUUGGGCAAAUAGGAAAUAGUGACUGCUGCAGAAAAUUAGAUGUGCAAAACAAACUGGGAGAAUCCAGACUGAAUAAGCAGGAUGAUGGAAAUUAUUUUUAUUCUUUCACAGAACGUGAGUUUCGCUGGUAAAGCCAGCAUUUAUUGUCCUUGAGAAGGUAGGAAAGAGCUGCUACCAUGAAUUGCUCUGGUCCAAAUAUUAGGGAAGAAGUUCUAAAACUGUAACCCGGUGACAGUGCAGAAAUUAUAAUGUAUUUUAAUAUUAUAUUGUUAUAUGACUUGGAGGAGGAUUUGUAGGUGAUGGUGUGCCAGAAGACCUUAUUUUUAUCAGUGUUGGAGGUUUGGAAAUUGCUGUCAAAAAAGCCUUGGCAAGAUGCUGCAUUAUAUCUUAUAGAUGUCAUGCAUUGCUGCUAGAUUUCAUUGGUGAAUGCCAGUAGGGUAGGAUGCCAGUCAAGCUGGAAGAUUAGUCAGGUAAAAACAAGGACUGCAGAUGCUGGAAACCAGAUUCUAGAUUAGAGUGGUGCUGGAAAAGCACAGCAGU